GCGUGAGAAUCUGCCCUCAGGAGGGGGAUAACGGCUGGAAACGGCCGCUAAUACCCCAUAUGCCGAGAGGUGAAAUGAAUUUCGCCUGAGGAUGAGCUCGCGUCUGAUUAGCUAGUUGGUGGGGUAAGAGCCUACCAAGGCUUCGAUCAGUAGCUGGUCUGAGAGGAUGAUCAGCCACACUGGGACUGAGACACGGCCCAGACUCCUACGGGAGGCAGCAGUGGGGAAUUUUCCGCAAUGGGCGAAAGCCUGACGGAGCAACGCCGCGUGAGGGAUGAAGGCCUCUGGGCUGUAAACCUCUUUUCUCAAGGAAGAAGAUCUGACGGUACUUGAGGAAUAAGCCACGGCUAAUUCCGUGCCAGCAGCCGCGGUAAUACGGGAGUGGCAAGCGUUAUCCGGAAUUAUUGGGCGUAAAGCGUCCGUAGGCGGCCUCGUAAGUCUGUCGUUAAAGCGUGGAGCUUAACUCCAUUUCAGCGAUGGAAACUGCGAGGCUAGAGUGUGGUAGGG
RNAcentral lists this ribosomal RNA (507 nucleotides) under uncultured cyanobacterium. RNAcentral's name for it is "bacterial SSU rRNA". It matches the Rfam family "Bacterial small subunit ribosomal RNA", at positions 115 to 656 of the family's 1533-position model. Lineage: Bacteria; Bacillati; Cyanobacteriota. The record is from RNAcentral.